Molecule: ribosomal RNA, 253 nt
Filed under: uncultured bacterium
Lineage: Bacteria
Description: partial 16S ribosomal RNA
Rfam family: Bacterial small subunit ribosomal RNA
Source: RNAcentral
UACGAGGGGGGCAAGCGUUGUUCGGAAUUAUUGGGCGUAAAGGGCGCGUAGGCGGUGCGGUAAGUCACCUGUGAAAUCUCUGGGCUCAACUCAGAGUCUGCAGGCGAAACUGCCGUGCUGGAGUAUGGGAGAGGUGCGUGGAAUUCCCAGUGUAGCGGUGAAAUGCGUAGAUAUUGGGAGGAACACCAGUGGCGAAGGCGGCUACCUGGACCGGUACUGACGCUGAUGCGCGAAAGCGUGGGUAGCAAACAGG